This 253-nucleotide ribosomal RNA is filed under the name uncultured bacterium. Its description in RNAcentral is "partial 16S ribosomal RNA". It matches the Rfam family "Bacterial small subunit ribosomal RNA", at positions 524 to 776 of the family's 1533-position model. The record is from RNAcentral. RNAcentral also lists the same sequence under 1 other name.
UACAGAGGGUGCGAGCGUUGUCCGGAAUCACUGGGCGUAAAGGGCGCGUAGGUGGCGGGAUAAGCGUGUGGUGAAAGCCCGGGGCUCAACCCCGUGUCUGCCAUGCGGACUGUCUUGCUCGAGCGUAGUAGAGGCAGGUGGAAUUCCGGGUGUAGCGGUGGAAUGCGUAGAGAUCCGGAAGAACACCGGUGGCGAAGGCGGCCUGCUGGGCUACUGCUGACACUGAGGCGCGACAGCGUGGGGAGCAAACAGG